UCAAGUGAAGAAGCGCAUACGGUGGAUGCCUUGGCAGUCAGAGGCGAUGAAAGACGUGGUAGCCUGCGAAAAGCUUCGGGGAGUCGGCAAACAGACUUUGAUCCGGAGAUCUCUGAAUGGGGGAACCCACCUAGGAUAACCUAGGUAUCUUGUACUGAAUCCAUAGGUGCAAGAGGCGAACCAGGGGAACUGAAACAUCUAAGUACCCUGAGGAAAAGAAAUCAACCGAGAUUCCCUUAGUAGUGGCGAGCGAACGGGGAUUAGCCCUUAAGCUUCAUUGAUUUUAGCGGAACGCUCUGGAAAGUGCGGCCAUAGUGGGUGAUAGCCUCGUACGCGAAAGGAUCUUUGAAGUGAAAUCGAGUAGGACGGAGCACGAGAAACUUUGUCUGAACAUGGGGGGACCAUCCUCCAAGGCUAAAUACUACUGACUGACCGAUAGUGAACCAGUACCGUGAGGGAAAGGCGAAAAGAACCCCGGAGAGGGGAGUGAAAUAGAACCUGAAACCGUAUGCGUACAAGCAGUGGGAGCCUACUUGUUAGGUGACUGCGUACCUUUUGUAUAAUGGGUCAGCGACUUAUAUUCAGUGGCAAGCUUAACCGUAUAGGGUAGGCGUAGCGAAAGCGAGUCUUAAUAGGGCGUUUAGUCGCUGGGUAUAGACCCGAAACCGGGCGAUCUAUCCAUGAGCAGGUUGAAGGUUAGGUAACACUGACUGGAGGACCGAACCCACUCCCGUUGAAAAGGUAGGGGAUGACUUGUGGAUCGGAGUGAAAGGCUAAUCAAGCUCGGAGAUAGCUGGUUCUCCUCGAAAGCUAUUUAGGUAGCGCCUCAUGUAUCACUCUGGGGGGUAGAGCACUGUUUCGGCUAGGGGGUCAUCCCGACUUACCAAACCGAUGCAAACUCCGAAUACCCAGAAGUGCCGAGCAUGGGAGACACACGGCGGGUGCUAACGUCCGUCGUGAAAAGGGAAACAACCCAGACCGCCAGCUAAGGUCCCAAAGUUGUGGUUAAGUGGUAAACGAUGUGGGAAGGCUUAGACAGCUAGGAGGUUGGCUUAGAAGCAGCCACCCUUUAAAGAAAGCGUAAUAGCUCACUAGUCGAGUCGGCCUGCGCGGAAGAUGUAACGGGGCUCAAACCACACACCGAAGCUGCGGGUGUCACGUAAGUGACGCGGUAGAGGAGCGUUCUGUAAGCCUGUGAAGGUGAGUUGAGAAGCUUGCUGGAGGUAUCAGAAGUGCGAAUGCUGACAUGAGUAACGACAAUGGGUGUGAAAAACACCCACGCCGAAAGACCAAGGGUUCCUGCGCAACGUUAAUCGACGCAGGGUUAGUCGGUUCCUAAGGCGAGGCUGAAAAGCGUAGUCGAUGGGAAACAGGUUAAUAUUCCUGUACUUCUGGUUACUGCGAUGGAGGGACGGAGAAGGCUAGGCCAGCUUGGCGUUGGUUGUCCAAGUUUAAGGUGGUAGGCUGAAAUCUUAGGUAAAUCCGGGGUUUCAAGGCCGAGAGCUGAUGACGAGUCGUCUUUUAGAUGACGAAGUGGUUGAUGCCAUGCUUCCAAGAAAAGCUUCUAAGCUUCAGGUAACCAGGAACCGUACCCCAAACCGACACAGGUGGUCGGGUAGAGAAUACCAAGGCGCUUGAGAGAACUCGGGUGAAGGAACUAGGCAAAAUGGCACCGUAACUUCGGGAGAAGGUGCGCCGGCUAGGGUGAAGGAUUUACUCCGUAAGCUCUGGCUGGUCGAAGAUACCAGGCCGCUGCGACUGUUUAUUAAAAACACAGCACUCUGCAAACACGAAAGUGGACGUAUAGGGUGUGACGCCUGCCCGGUGCCGGAAGGUUAAUUGAUGGGGUUAGCGCAAGCGAAGCUCUUGAUCGAAGCCCCGGUAAACGGCGGCCGUAACUAUAACGGUCCUAAGGUAGCGAAAUUCCUUGUCGGGUAAGUUCCGACCUGCACGAAUGGCGUAACGAUGGCGGCGCUGUCUCCACCCGAGACUCAGUGAAAUUGAAAUCGCUGUGAAGAUGCAGUGUAUCCGCGGCUAGACGGAAAGACCCCGUGAACCUUUACUGUAGCUUUGCACUGGACUUUGAGCCUGCUUGUGUAGGAUAGGUGGGAGGCUUUGAAGCGUGGACGCCAGUUCGCGUGGAGCCAUCCUUGAAAUACCACCCUGGCAUGCUUGAGGUUCUAACUCUGGUCCGUGAUCCGGAUCGAGGACAGUGUAUGGUGGGCAGUUUGACUGGGGCGGUCUCCUCCUAAAGAGUAACGGAGGAGUACGAAGGUGCGCUCAGACCGGUCGGAAAUCGGUCGCAGAGUAUAAAGGCAAAAGCGCGCUUGACUGCGAGACAGACACGUCGAGCAGGUACGAAAGUAGGUCUUAGUGAUCCGGUGGUUCUGUAUGGAAGGGCCAUCGCUCAACGGAUAAAAGGUACUCCGGGGAUAACAGGCUGAUACCGCCCAAGAGUUCAUAUCGACGGCGGUGUUUGGCACCUCGAUGUCGGCUCAUCACAUCCUGGGGCUGAAGCCGGUCCCAAGGGUAUGGCUGUUCGCCAUUUAAAGUGGUACGCGAGCUGGGUUUAGAACGUCGUGAGACAGUUCGGUCCCUAUCUGCCGUGGACGUUUGAGAUUUGAGAGGGGCUGCUCCUAGUACGAGAGGACCGGAGUGGACGAACCUCUGGUGUUCCGGUUGUCACGCCAGUGGCAUUGCCGGGUAGCUAUGUUCGGAAAAGAUAACCGCUGAAAGCAUCUAAGCGGGAAACUUGCCUCAAGAUGAGAUCUCACUGGGAACUUGAUUCCCCUGAAGGGCCGUCGAAGACUACGACGUUGAUAGGCUGGGUGUGUAAGCGUUGUGAGGCGUUGAGCUAACCAGUACUAAUUGCCCGUGAGGCUUGACCAU
Molecule: ribosomal RNA, 2889 nt
Filed under: Pseudomonas aeruginosa
Lineage: Bacteria; Pseudomonadati; Pseudomonadota; Gammaproteobacteria; Pseudomonadales; Pseudomonadaceae
Description: 23S ribosomal RNA
Rfam family: Bacterial large subunit ribosomal RNA
Source: RNAcentral